CACCCCGUGAGUGCCCAGGGUUAUGCGGCUGCUUCUGCGGGGAGCGAGCCUUCAAGGCCAAGGCGACAGCCAAGUGCCCUGCGGUGCUGAGACACACCUGGAGCCAGGCCCCUUCGGGGCAGAGAAGGAUGCGCCGAGAUGAGAAACGAGGCUGGGCUUGCGAGGAGCUGGCGGGUUUCAGUUCACACGGCCCGGGAGGCACCCGCGGGUUUCAGGGCAGGACGCCCCUAGCGGGGAGGAGCCGGUCUUCACAGUCUUGUUCGUGGCGAGGUCUGUCCAGACCAAACGCUGCCUGUUAAGGGUCUGCUCCCUGCCACGACCUCGGCACCCAGGGGCGGGGCAGGGGGAGUUCGAGGGUCUUGGUUUGGCCUUAAUGUCUGCGGACCAGAUCCUAUUUUUAUCUCCCCAGAAGCUUCUGGAAACAAGAAAGGCCAUUUCAGAGUGCUGGGGAGCCACAGAGGAGCCGGAGGCUGAUGCCCAGAAGACGGGGUAAACCCAGACCACGGGGCCCUUGGAGGAACACAUGACCGCCCACUCUGGGCCCGGGAGGGACCAGAGGCAGAAGACAGCUAAGGGGGUCUGUCUUCCUGGCCCAGCUUUAGGGCAAGUAGCAGGAGGAGGCUGGGGUGCAGGUCACAGCUGGCCUGAGGCCGGCGCAGCCCUGGUGCACGGAGCUGCCCCGCCGGCAGGAGCCACCCUCGCACUCGUCUCAUCUGCUGCCCAGGGAACAGCCCGUGGUUUCCACAGAAACCAAAGGAGCCCAGUCUGCAGGAAUGCGGACAUGAUGGCUGGAGCUGAUGCAGCUGUUUUGGCCCAUGAGGAUGGCAAGAGAGAGCCUGCCUCUGUGGGAGGCAGAAGAGCCUCACCCAAACCUCCUCUCUGUGGAAACACGCCAAGACCAGGGCUGCGUUUCCAGGCCAGACGCGGGAGAAUCAAACACUUCAAGGAAGACGUGCUCACUGGAAACUACAAGCUCUUUGCUUAAGCCAAGGAACGUGUGGUUCUUUCAAGCUUGUAAUCUUUGUGCUCUUGGUGCUAACGUUUCCCUUUCCAGACCCUGGCAGGGGGUCUCCUUCUGCCCAGCCCCUGGGUGCGGCCUUUCCAUUGUUGGGGUGCCUGCUCCCACCCACUAUCUUUGCAGCCCUUCGGAGCUACCCCAAGCCCACCCACAGCCCACUUCGAGCUACUCAGCUCCCUCCUGGCCACAGAAUGUUACUUUCUUUCAAGUCAGUAACAGAAGCCCUGACAUUUAAUAAUCAUGUAAUUAAUUGUUCCAGUGGGCUAUUUCCUCAUCCAGCUUCAUUGUAAGAUGCACAGAGCAGGAAUCAUGCCACAUUUUCCCUGAUGUUCAUCCUGCCCUCGCCACGAGGAUUUUGCUGGGGGCACCAUAGUCACUCAACAAACACUCUGUGCGCUUCAUUUCACAGGAGGGUUGAACCCGGGCUGUUUUCUUUUCUUCAUUUUUCGGAAAGCAACAACCAACACCACUGGACCACAAAGAGACCUACAUGUCCCACCUGGCCGGGUGACUGGCUGGAUUUCUCCACCAUAAAGGCAGUGGCCGUUUCCCUUUGCACCUAACUGAUUCCCUUGAAGCUUUUCCGGCCCCAUGUGACUUGCUGUAGCCUUUAACUAAAUGCUCUUCGUUCUGCUGGAAGAAUGGGAAGAGGGUGACACCCUGCCCAGGAUUGACAGACACGGGGCUGCCAGUCCUGCCUUGACCUCUCUGAGCCUCAGGUCCCAGCUCCACAAAAUGGGACUAAACGGGGACUGGGUCAUCUCUAAGGUCCUCCCAGCUUUGUCAUUGCCCAAUUUAGGUUGUGACUCUGUCUAGAGGUUACUGUGUCCGUACUAUCAUUGUCUUUUUGGUAACAGCCCUUCACUUAAUCAACGGGGCAGGUAGUUUGGGGAAAGUAUCUCUCAGAGUCCGCCAGGCACAAUGGGGCAGGAAGUAGGAGCUUGAGUUUUCUCUGGUGAAUGGCCGUGGGACCGCUGGUCUCAGUGCUCACAAAUAGGAACCUGCCCUGUCUUAUUCUGUCCACUUUUGGGGAAAGGUCUUUAUACUAUUAGAAGUUCAUGAACACAUUAAAACAAUCAAA
Long non-coding RNA from Lemur catta (Ring-tailed lemur), 2099 nucleotides. RefSeq lists it as uncharacterized. The record is from RefSeq and is a predicted model, not a curated record. Lineage: Eukaryota; Metazoa; Chordata; Mammalia; Primates; Lemuridae. The transcript has 4 exons.